GAAGGGUGCAAGCGUUACUCGGAAUUACUGGGCGUAAAGCGUGCGUAGGUGGUUCGUUAAGUCUGCCGUGAAAGCCCCGGGCUCAACCUGGGAAUGGCGGUGGAUACUGGCGGACUAGAGUGCGGUAGAGGGUGGUGGAAUUCCCGGUGUAGCAGUGAAAUGCGUAGAGAUCGGGAGGAACAUCUGUGGCGAAGGCGGCCACCUGGACCAGCACUGACACUGAGGCACGAAAGCGUGGGGAGCAAACAGGAUUAGAUACCCUGGUAGUCCACGCCCUAAACGAUGCGAACUGGACGUUAGGAGCAACUAGGCUCUUAGUGUCGAAGCUAACGCGUUAAGUUCGCCGCCUGGGGAGUACGGUCGCAAGACAG
RNAcentral lists this ribosomal RNA (371 nucleotides) under uncultured bacterium. RNAcentral describes it as "bacterial SSU rRNA". It matches the Rfam family "Bacterial small subunit ribosomal RNA", at positions 527 to 896 of the family's 1533-position model. The record is from RNAcentral.